AGUGAACGCUGGCGGUAGGCCUAAUACAUGCAAGUCGAACGGCAGCACAGUAAGAUUUCGCCUUUAAGGUUAGCGACUGACGGAUGGGUAACGCAUACAUCACCUUCUUAUUUUUCGUGGGUGACUUCGUAAGGCCACAUAUAAUAAUACCGAAUAUGUUCUACGGCAUAGUUCAAGAGUUAAUGGCACUUUUCCUGUCACUUUUAGAUGAUUCCGCGUUGCAUUAGCUAGUUGGUAAGGUCACGGCUCACCAAGGCAACGAUGCGUAGCCGAUCUGAGAGGGUGAUCGGCCACACUGGAACUGAGACACGGUCCAGACUCCUACGGGAGGCAGCAGUAGGGAAUAUUGGACAAUGGGCGAAAGCCUGACGCAGCAACGCCGCGUGAGUGAAGAAGGUCUUCGGAUCGUAAAACUCUGUUAUUAGGGAAGAACAGAUGUGUAAGUAAACCUGCCUGUCCUGACGGUACCCAAUGAGAAAGCCCCGGCUAACUACGUG
This 497-nucleotide ribosomal RNA is filed under the name uncultured bacterium. Its description in RNAcentral is "partial 16S ribosomal RNA". It matches the Rfam family "Bacterial small subunit ribosomal RNA", at positions 29 to 507 of the family's 1533-position model. The record is from RNAcentral.